Molecule: ribosomal RNA, 794 nt
Filed under: Streptomyces atroolivaceus
Lineage: Bacteria; Bacillati; Actinomycetota; Actinomycetes; Kitasatosporales; Streptomycetaceae
Description: bacterial SSU rRNA
Rfam family: Bacterial small subunit ribosomal RNA
Source: RNAcentral
GUCGAACGAUGAAGCCCUUCGGGGUGGAUUAGUGGCGAACGGGUGAGUAACACGUGGGCAAUCUGCCCUUCACUCUGGGACAAGCCCUGGAAACGGGGUCUAAUACCGGAUAACACUCUGUCCCUCAUGGGGCGGGGUUAAAAGCUCCGGCGGUGAAGGAUGAGCCCGCGGCCUAUCAGCUUGUUGGUGGGGUAAUGGCCUACCAAGGCGACGACGGGUAGCCGGCCUGAGAGGGCGACCGGCCACACUGGGACUGAGACACGGCCCAGACUCCUACGGGAGGCAGCAGUGGGGAAUAUUGCACAAUGGGCGAAAGCCUGAUGCAGCGACGCCGCGUGAGGGAUGACGGCCUUCGGGUUGUAAACCUCUUUCAGCAGGGAAGAAGCGAAAGUGACGGUACCUGCAGAAGAAGCGCCGGCUAACUACGUGCCAGCAGCCGCGGUAAUACGUAGGGCGCAAGCGUUGUCCGGAAUUAUUGGGCGUAAAGAGCUCGUAGGCGGCUUGUCACGUCGGAUGUGAAAGCUCGGGGCUUAACCCCGAGUCUGCAUUCGAUACGGGCUAGCUAGAGUGUGGUAGGGGAGAUCGGAAUUCCUGGUGUAGCGGUGAAAUGCGCAGAUAUCAGGAGGAACACCGGUGGCGAAGGCGGAUCUCUGGGCCAUUACUGACGCUGAGGAGCGAAAGCGUGGGGAGCGAACAGGAUUAGAUACCCUGAUAGUCCACGCCGUAAACGUUGGGAACUAGUGUUGGCGACAUUCCACGUCGUCGGUGCCGCAGCUAACGCAUUAAGUUCCCCG